GCUGUCAUUAAUGUGACUUAACUUGUUUGAAUACAUUUUGAUUGAAUUUGACACUUUGUUAUCUGGAACUGUAGAUAGAUCAUUUUCAUUGGGGAAAGUAGCCUGGCAGAAAAGGACCAGGUGGUACUGGUCAACAGCCAGUUGAACAUGAGAUAGCAAUGUGCCCAGGUGGCCAAGAUGGCCAAGGGCAUCCUGGUCAGUGUCAGAAACAAUGUAAUCAGUAAGACUAUGGAAGUGACUGUCGUCUUGUGCAACACUGGCUACAACCUCACAGGCAUCAAAGAGACGUGGUACCACUUUAGGAAGAACAGGUGACGAGAGGUGUUAGGGAACUCUUAGGUCACGUCCUGAACCAGUGAUUGAGCACCUUGGCAUGGCCAGCCAUAGGAACACAGAUACAAGCAAUUCACCUGUGCACUCAGGGUCAGCUUUUCCCUAACCUCAUUUAAGGAUUGGCAGCCAAGAUGGAAGCAUCACUACUUGGAAAUUGCUUCAUUUGGGGAGUUUUCCAGCAAGCUCUUGUCUUCAGAAAGGAGGCCGGCCCCAUCCCUGUGCUGUUGCCAUGGCCACAUUCUCUCGCGGAGCAUCCUUGAGUGGAGAAGAGUGCUAUCAUGUUGCUUCCCCAGGAGAUUGUCUGUGCACUUUCAACUUCCUCGCGUGAAGUACCAGCAUGCCAGAAGCAUGGUUCUUGGUGGUGCACUCGCUACAACACAGCACUUAAUGAGACUUCAGCAGUAGAAGCUCGCAAACCUGAGCAUGCUCCUCAGCUGCAGCCAGUUUUUGCUCCUCUUUAAGCACUGGGUUUGGAAGCCUUCUUACUUUAAAAAUAAUAUAAUGAUAAUAUAGAAAUGUAUUUCUAAAUGUAUGUACUCCAUAUAUAGCAAUAUCAUGUAACACUUUAUACUGAGGAGGUUGAUUACUUUUGAUUCAGGUUACUCUGGGUUAUGAAAGUUGGGUUCAAAUUUUAGGAGAAAACAACAGCACCUCUGGUCUGGUUCCAGGCUUAUCUCUUCAUAUGCUCAUCUCUUCAGUUUAUUUCACAGCAAUCCCACAAUAUCAGUAGAUAUUCUUAUUUUUGUGAUAAUGGCUUUGGUUUCUCAGUAAAUUAAUCUCUUUGUUAGCUUGUUUGCUGAUAACAUUUUCUAUCAUGUGCAGCUGCUCUGUUUAAGACUGAAAUGAGGAAAAUGUGAUAACCUCACAAAAAAGUAAUGCCAGACUCGGAAGUCCUCUUGCUUUGUCCAGGUUCCAACACUAUAAAGAAUCAAUACAAAAAGAGAAGUAAAGAUGAGAAAGGAAACAAACCUAACUAUGUCCAAAUGCUGUAGCUCUAAAAGAUUCUCUCAAUGCUAAAAUCUGAUUAAAUAGACAGAGGAGAAAAGGUGAUGUAAUGCUCUGAGGCAGGAAAACAUCAAGUGCUCAGAGUUAAAGACUCUGUCCUGCUCCAAAAUGGCAAAGAAAAGCAUGAUCAUUUAAGGUCGAUGCCAUGUGAGGCGUUUUGCUUUAUGCUUCAUUUAAAGUAGUGCUUGGACUCGCAUAAUGAUAGUUUUCUCUGCUGUACUGUUUUCAGAUUUGGUUAACCAAGUGAUGACUUUGAUAAUCAUUGUUAUCUUAAAUAUGGGGAGAUGGGGAAGAGAACAACACCUUACAAAUGCAUGACACCACAAUUGAGUGACAAUGUAUUCUGUGAUGAAGGAUCAGGAGUUUCCUGUCAGAGCAAUCAUGGAAACAGUUUAAAUAGCUAUGGGGGGAGAGGGAGGGAGAGCAAUAUGAUUUUAAUCAUAG
Non-coding RNA from Meleagris gallopavo (turkey), 1782 nucleotides. NCBI's taxonomy places the organism in Eukaryota, Metazoa, Chordata, Aves, Galliformes, Phasianidae. The record is from RefSeq and is a predicted model, not a curated record.